Molecule: ribosomal RNA, 842 nt
Filed under: uncultured archaeon
Lineage: Archaea
Description: bacterial SSU rRNA
Rfam family: Archaeal small subunit ribosomal RNA
Source: RNAcentral
CGGACUGACUGCUAUCGGAUUGUACUAAGCCAUGCGAGUCGUGUAGCAAUACAAGGCGGACGGCUCAGUAACACGUAGUCAACUACCUAUGGACGUGGAUAACCUCGGGAAACUGAGAAUAAACCGCGAUAGAUCAUAAUGCCUGGAAUGGCUUAUGGUUCAAACAAUUUAUUGCCGUAGGAUGGGACUGCGGCCUAUCAGCUUGUUGGUGAGGUAAUGGCCCACCAAGGCUAUAACAGGUACGGGCUCUGAGAGGAGAAGCCCGGAGAUGGGUACUGAGACACGGACCCAGGCCCUGUGGGGCGCAGCAGGCGAGAAACCUUAGCAAUGUGCGAAAGCACGACUAGGUUAAUCCGAGUGGUUCCUGCUAAAGGAACCUUUUGUCAGUCGUAAAACCACAGACGAAUAAGGGGUGGGCAAGUCUGGUGUCAGCCGCCGCGGUAAUACCAGCACCUCGAGUGGUCAGGAGGUUUAUUGGGCCUAAAGCAUCCGUAGCCGGCUUUGCAAGUCUCCGGUUAAAUCCAGCUGCUCAACAGAUGGGCUGCCGGAGAUACUACAUAGCUAGGGAGCGGGAGAGGCAGACGGUAUUCGGUGGGUAGGGGUAAAAUCCACUGAUCCAUCGAGGACCACCAGUGGCGAAGGCGGUCUGCCAGAACGCGUUCGACGGUGAGGGAUGAAAGCUGGGGGAGCAAACCGGAUUAGAUACCCGGGUAGUCCCAGCUGUAAACGAUGCAAACUCGGUGAUGCAUUGGCUUAUGGCCAAUGCAGUGCCGCAGGGAAGCCGUUAAGUUUGCCGCCUGGGAAGUACGGACGCAAGUCUGAAACUUAAAGGAAUUGGCGGG